RNAcentral lists this ribosomal RNA (1432 nucleotides) under Staphylococcus aureus CUHK_HK2007. Its description in RNAcentral is "bacterial SSU rRNA". It matches the Rfam family "Bacterial small subunit ribosomal RNA". Lineage: Bacteria; Bacillati; Bacillota; Bacilli; Caryophanales; Staphylococcaceae. The record is from RNAcentral.
GCAAGUCGAGCGAACGGACGAGAAGCUUGCUUCUCUGAUGUUAGCGGCGGACGGGUGAGUAACACGUGGAUAACCUACCUAUAAGACUGGGAUAACUUCGGGAAACCGGAGCUAAUACCGGAUAAUAUUUUGAACCGCAUGGUUCAAAAGUGAAAGACGGUCUUGCUGUCACUUAUAGAUGGAUCCGCGCUGCAUUAGCUAGUUGGUAAGGUAACGGCUUACCAAGGCAACGAUGCAUAGCCGACCUGAGAGGGUGAUCGGCCACACUGGAACUGAGACACGGUCCAGACUCCUACGGGAGGCAGCAGUAGGGAAUCUUCCGCAAUGGGCGAAAGCCUGACGGAGCAACGCCGCGUGAGUGAUGAAGGUCUUCGGAUCGUAAAACUCUGUUAUUAGGGAAGAACAUAUGUGUAAGUAACUGUGCACAUCUUGACGGUACCUAAUCAGAAAGCCACGGCUAACUACGUGCCAGCAGCCGCGGUAAUACGUAGGUGGCAAGCGUUAUCCGGAAUUAUUGGGCGUAAAGCGCGCGUAGGCGGUUUUUUAAGUCUGAUGUGAAAGCCCACGGCUCAACCGUGGAGGGUCAUUGGAAACUGGAAAACUUGAGUGCAGAAGAGGAAAGUGGAAUUCCAUGUGUAGCGGUGAAAUGCGCAGAGAUAUGGAGGAACACCAGUGGCGAAGGCGACUUUCUGGUCUGUAACUGACGCUGAUGUGCGAAAGCGUGGGGAUCAAACAGGAUUAGAUACCCUGGUAGUCCACGCCGUAAACGAUGAGUGCUAAGUGUUAGGGGGUUUCCGCCCCUUAGUGCUGCAGCUAACGCAUUAAGCACUCCGCCUGGGGAGUACGACCGCAAGGUUGAAACUCAAAGGAAUUGACGGGGACCCGCACAAGCGGUGGAGCAUGUGGUUUAAUUCGAAGCAACGCGAAGAACCUUACCAAAUCUUGACAUCCUUUGACAACUCUAGAGAUAGAGCCUUCCCCUUCGGGGGACAAAGUGACAGGUGGUGCAUGGUUGUCGUCAGCUCGUGUCGUGAGAUGUUGGGUUAAGUCCCGCAACGAGCGCAACCCUUAAGCUUAGUUGCCAUCAUUAAGUUGGGCACUCUAAGUUGACUGCCGGUGACAAACCGGAGGAAGGUGGGGAUGACGUCAAAUCAUCAUGCCCCUUAUGAUUUGGGCUACACACGUGCUACAAUGGACAAUACAAAGGGCAGCGAAACCGCGAGGUCAAGCAAAUCCCAUAAAGUUGUUCUCAGUUCGGAUUGUAGUCUGCAACUCGACUACAUGAAGCUGGAAUCGCUAGUAAUCGUAGAUCAGCAUGCUACGGUGAAUACGUUCCCGGGUCUUGUACACACCGCCCGUCACACCACGAGAGUUUGUAACACCCGAAGCCGGUGGAGUAACCUUUUAGGAGCUAGCCGUCGAAGGUGGGACA